Poecilia formosa (Amazon molly) is the source of this 101-nucleotide unclassified non-coding RNA. Its record names the gene Vault. It matches the Rfam family "Vault RNA". From Rfam's summary of the family: This family of RNAs are found as part of the enigmatic vault ribonucleoprotein complex. The complex consists of a major vault protein (MVP), two minor vault proteins (VPARP and TEP1), and several small untranslated RNA molecules. Lineage: Eukaryota; Metazoa; Chordata; Actinopteri; Cyprinodontiformes; Poeciliidae. The record is from Ensembl.
GCGCUGGUUUAGCUCAGUGGUUACUUCGUUCAACUCUUCUAAACAGAAAUGUUGUCCCUCCCCUAACCGGGAUCAAACCACGGGCGCUGUCCAGCCUUUUG